This 466-nucleotide ribosomal RNA is filed under the name Perisphincter taloomi. Its description in RNAcentral is "eukaryotic LSU rRNA". Lineage: Eukaryota; Metazoa; Arthropoda; Insecta; Hymenoptera; Ichneumonidae. The record is from RNAcentral.
CCUGAGAAACCCAAAAGAUCGAAUGGGGAGAUUCAUCGUCAGCGAUCCCGGCACGUGCGCGGUUCGCGAUGUCGGAGGGCCUCGGCCUCUCGGCACGCGUCCGGUUUCAUUGCCGGGNNUGUCGUCGGCGUGCACUUCUCCCCUAGUAGGACGUCGCGACCCGUUGGGUGUCGGUCUACGGCCCGGGUGGGAGCCUGUCACGCGUAACGCCUCGCGGCGUCGCGUGGCAGACCCCCGGUCGCCCGACCAGCUGCUCGGCGGUAUUCGCACGGUAUAGAGCCGCAAAUAUUCGAACUGCGUCCGGCCCGCCGCAAGCUGUGCCAGUGUAUACCCGGAUGUACGGACCUAGCGCCGUCACCGGGCCUGGCCGGCUGUUGGCCGGCGGUGUCCUGGGACCGGCUCUAAAUUUUACCGGUCAGCGACGCUACUGCUUUGGGUACUUUCAGGACCCGUCUUGAAACACGGA